UUAUUAUGGUACACUACUAAAGUAGAAAAGUUAUGACGGUGGCGACUUCUGAAAGUUGGUGAUGCUUAUGAAAAUAAGUACUAAAACUAGGAAAGGAGACAGCCUUUUGUCCACGUAUGAGAUACUACAACUUGUGUUAGGAACAGGAAUGUUUAUUCUUGC
Molecule: small RNA, 162 nt
Filed under: Carnobacterium maltaromaticum
Lineage: Bacteria; Bacillati; Bacillota; Bacilli; Lactobacillales; Carnobacteriaceae
Description: Listeria sRNA rli28
Rfam family: Listeria sRNA rli28
Source: RNAcentral